AAUAGAUACCCCGGUAGUCCACGCCGUAAACGAUGGAUGCUAGCUGUUAUGCGUAUCGACCCGUGUAGUAGCGAAGCUAACGCGUUAAGCAUCCCGCCUGGGGAGUACGAACGCAAGUUUAAAACUCAAGGGAAUUGACGGGGACCCGCACAAGCGGUGGAGCGUGUUCUUUAAUUCGAGGCUAAGCGAAGAACCUUACCAGGGCUUGACAUCCUUGGAAUUUCUCCGAAAGGAGAGAGUACUUUAUUGGACCAAGUGACAGGUGCUGCAUGGCCGUCGUCAGCUCGUGUCGUGAGAUGUUUGGUUAAGUCCAUUAACGAGCGCAACCCUUAUGAAUAGUUGUAUUUUUCUAUUCAGACUGCCCCGGCAACGGGGAGAAGGGGGGAUGAUGGUCAGGUCAGUAUUGCCCUUACGCCCUGGGCUAGAAACGCGCUACAAUGGCCGGUACAAUGCGCUGCCAACCCACGAGGGGAGCAAAUCGCAUCAAGGCCGGUCCCAGUUCGGAUAAGAGGCUGAAACUCGCCUCUUUGAAGCCGGAAUCGCUAGU
RNAcentral lists this ribosomal RNA (547 nucleotides) under uncultured bacterium. RNAcentral describes it as "bacterial SSU rRNA". It matches the Rfam family "Bacterial small subunit ribosomal RNA", at positions 777 to 1339 of the family's 1533-position model. The record is from RNAcentral.